RNAcentral lists this ribosomal RNA (507 nucleotides) under uncultured Sphingomonas sp. RNAcentral describes it as "bacterial SSU rRNA". It matches the Rfam family "Bacterial small subunit ribosomal RNA", at positions 218 to 742 of the family's 1533-position model. The record is from RNAcentral. Lineage: Bacteria; Pseudomonadati; Pseudomonadota; Alphaproteobacteria; Sphingomonadales; Sphingomonadaceae.
CCCAGGGAUGAGCCCGCGUAGGAUUAGCUAGUUGGUUGGGUAAAGGCUGACCAAGGCGACGAUCCUUAGCUGGUCUGAGAGGAUGAUCAGCCACACUGGGACUGAGACACGGCCCAGACUCCUACGGGAGGCAGCAGUAGGGAAUAUUGGACAAUGGGGGCAACCCUGAUCCAGCAAUGCCGCGUGAGUGAUGAAGGCCUUAGGGUUGUAAAGCUCUUUUACCCGGGAUGAUAAUGACAGUACCGGGAGAAUAAGCCMRAGCUAACUCCGUGCCAGCAGCCGCGGUAAUACGGAGGGGGCUAGCGUUGUUCGGAAUUACUGGGCGUAAAGCGCACGUAGGCGGCGAUUUAAGUCAGAGGUGAAAGCCCGGGGCUCAACCCCGGAAUAGCCUUUGAGACUGGAUUGCUUGAACAUCGGAGAGGUGAGUGGAAUCCCGAGUGUAGAGGUGAAAUUCGUAGAUAUUCGGAAGAACACCAGUGGCGAAGGCGGCUCACUGGACGAUUGUUG